AACGCGAAGAACCUUACCAGGUCUUGACAUCCCUAAUGUAACACCUAGAGAUAGGUGCCCUCUUCGGAGCAUAGGAGACAGGUGGUGCAUGGUUGUCGUCAGCUCGUGUCGUGAGAUGUUGGGUUAAGUCCCGCAACGAGCGCAACCCUUGAUCUUAGUUGCCAGCACUUCGGGUGGGCACUCUAGGAUGACUGCCGGUGACAAACCGGAGGAAGGUGGGGAUGACGUCAAAUCAUCAUGCCCCUUAUGACCUGGGCUACACACGUACUACAAUGGUCGGUACAACGGGAAGCGAAGCCGCGAGGUGGAGCCAAUCCUUAAAAGCCGAUCUCAGUUCGGAUUGCAGGCUGCAACUCGCCUGCAUGAAGUCGGAAUUGCUAGUAAUCGCGGAUCAGCAUGCCGCGGUGAAUACGUUCCCGGGCCUUGUACACACCG
RNAcentral lists this ribosomal RNA (435 nucleotides) under uncultured bacterium. RNAcentral describes it as "bacterial SSU rRNA". It matches the Rfam family "Bacterial small subunit ribosomal RNA", at positions 958 to 1392 of the family's 1533-position model. The record is from RNAcentral.